Molecule: unclassified non-coding RNA, 1359 nt
Filed under: Hevea brasiliensis (rubber tree)
Lineage: Eukaryota; Viridiplantae; Streptophyta; Magnoliopsida; Malpighiales; Euphorbiaceae
Source: RNAcentral
ACCCCCACCUGACCCACACCACCUGCAAUAGUUCAGAGAAGUAUUUGGGUGAGAAAGAAAAUCAAAAUAGAAUCUAUUAUAUAUGUAUGUAGAAAGAACAUCAAAAUGCAUAGCUCAUAAAGAGCAGCUACCUCUAAUUGGUUUGCAGAGACCCUAACAAACAAGUAAGUAAGCAAGCAAACAAACAAUACAAUCCCUUAAAAGAAACUCCUCAGAAACUACUCCCACUACUACCAACCAGAACCACAAAACAAAUGAAUUAAAAAGAAAAGGAAAAAGCUGCAAUAAAAAGAUUUCAUUAAAAAUUUUAACAUAAUCCAUCUUAAUAAUUUCCCUUUUCUCCCUUUUUUUUUACUUCUGUACUUGUAUUAUGCUCCAUUCACGUUUAAGAGCAGUUUGCGUCUUUCUGUGCUUUGUAUGCGCGCACACCUGCCCAUCCAACAGCCUAUUUUUCAACUCAAAAAGUAAAAUCUAGAGACAUUAUAUAACACCAAAAUAUAGUAAAUAAAAAAAAUGGAAACAAAGAAAAUAAAAGGAGAAGAAGAAGAACAGCACAGAUUUUCGGGGCUUGGACUGCGUAGACGUUCAGAAACUCAAAAGCCGCUAAGAAAUCAUAAUUUUGGGAGAUAAAAAAUCGUCCGUUAAGGCAUUUAGACCUAUUAAACAACAAAUAAUCAAGAAUAGGCAACAAAAAUAAAGCAUUCCAGACCUUGAAUCCAUAUGUUAAUAAUCUUUGUGCUAAACACUUAGAUCUAAAGAGCAAUGAUCUACAAGAAGCCAACACAAAAAUAGCCUAAAACAGAUAGAGCAGAGACAGAGAUCCAAGUAAAGCAAAUAAUUGGUUUUCACAAGUGCUUUUCCAGAAAUCCAAAACUUGACGGGGGAAGAGUAAGCAAGGAAAAAAAAAAAUUAAAGCUUGGGUCAUCUUGUAGGAUAUUUUCAAAACAAAGGUUAACCAUUUUCAAGUUCUGCAUACCAACUAAGAUUCCACAUUUCAUGUAGAAACAGAUACUUCACCAUGAAAAAGACAUUUCUUUGAAAAGGGAACUGUAAAGAAGCAUUUGUACAGUUAAGAAGUUCCUAAAACAAAGAAGCUCCAAAACCCAUUAAAACUCUAAAAUUUUUCUAUCAAGCAUCCAACAUUGAAACAACAAAGAAGAAGAAGUGGAAGAAGAAACAGCCUCAGAGAAAAAACGUGGGGGAAAAAAACUCCAUUGAUUAACAGCGUACUGUCAGUCUUUAACAAACAACAUCCGUGUUUCUUACCAGAAAAUUUCCCUGUCUAGAAAAGCCUUUACCUUUGGCUGAGUUGGUGGUACUUAAAGUUUUUUAUCAGAAAAAUGUGAACGAAAAGAGUUU